This is a long non-coding RNA of Gallus gallus (chicken), 5297 nucleotides long. RefSeq lists it as uncharacterized. The record is from RefSeq and is a predicted model, not a curated record. The transcript has 10 exons. Lineage: Eukaryota; Metazoa; Chordata; Aves; Galliformes; Phasianidae.
UAUUCAGGCUGCAGGAGGGCGUCGGGAUCCGCCCCGGCCGGUGAGCCGUACCGAUAGCGAUGGAGGUGGGAGUGCUUCAGUUCUUCAGUUCAUUCUGCUCUCAUCAGCGGGAGUGAGCGAGAUGGGGCUGUGCUUCUGCAGCCUCAGCACUGCUGGGAGAGAGGAGCAACACGAAGGGCUGCUAAAACCAGGUGUUUCCCUAUUGCGGCUGGAGCUGCAGCAGGGCCUCUCUUCAUCCCAAACCGGCGAGGUUGUGGAAGUGUUGAGAGUUUGGGAGUCAGUAGGUGAGCUCUCUCCCCUUUGGACUUGGGUAGGGUUGCUGCUGAGCUAUCUCUGUUUCUUCAGGAUCAGCACGGUGCUGCUCUUGGAGGCCAAGGGAGACCUCUGGGUGGCCUCAGCCCCCCAAAAGGGUUUGUAGGUCCUUCAGCUCCUGCCUCCAGCAGCGGGAGCGAGCAGCAGGAUGGGACUGGGUGUUUCCACCUUCCUUAUGUGCAUGACCUCAUUCCCAUCGUGGUGGGUGAACUUGUAUGCCUGGAAUGCUGUUUGUUACGGAUUGCAUGUUUUUUUUCCAGAAGGACAAUCCAGCAGGGUGAUGGAGUUGCUUUUCAGGUGAGAGAGCUGGAAAGGAUUGAGCCCUGCCUAGGGAUGAAUGAACAACUAGAGGAGUGCUUGUGAGCUGUGACUGCUGAGGAUGCUCCUUGACGAUCCUGGAUCCCAGAGGAAAGCGUCUUUGAGGAAGGAUGCCUUCCUGAUCGCAGAGGAGGCGGCAAAGAUCACGUGGACAAAAUUAGUGCCCCCCAGGAAAGUUGUGUGAGGACGGGAGGAUAGCCAGCAUCACGGCAGCCUUCAAAAAGGGUGUCAUUCCAAGGAACUUGAAGAGUUUGCUAUGAAGCAGUCAAGGUGGAAUCACUGAGGGGAAAUUGUGCUGCUCCAACCUGGGAGCGUCAGGUCAGAGAAGAGCAGGGGAUGCUGCAAGCCUGACUUCAGUGUUUCUGUUGGCGUUUUUGUAAUGAAGCUUAACAAGUGUGAGAUGGUGACCUGGAUGAAGGGAGAGUCUCUAAUGUCGGUGAGUGAGCGGAUGAUGCGAAGCUGGGAGGAGCAGCGACAUUCAGCGGGACCCCAUGAACUGUGGAGAGCAGGUCAAGCGGAUGGGAAAGUUGUACAUGGGGUCCAAUGGAGGGCAAUGAAGAUGAUGAGGGGCCUGGAGCAUCUCUCUGUGGAGGACUGGAUGAGGAAUCUACUUCUGUUUCACCAAGAGAAGGUGGGUGGAAUCUCCUUUUUGUUAGUAAAUAUCUAGGAGUAGGAGUGUAGCAAUACAAUGGGGUGACAUUUGUGGUUGUGAAUGCCAGAAGUUCUGUAUAAACAGAAGGAGUGAUUUGUUGGAGAGUGAUGGUAUAGGCUAACUGGAGAGUUUGGAAAUGGUCAUGUUGAGUGCGGUUGCCUUCCUGGGUGAUGUGGUAUAGGGAAGCUGCUUUAGCAAGGGAGCCUUUCCAAUCCUCUGUGGUUCUGUGACUGUCAUUUGGUUUCAGGAUGGAGGCUGCAAAGGAGUGUUUGUUUUUUUGGCAAGGAUCUGCCUGAACAUGAGUGGUUUCAUCAGUGGUGGAAUGGAGGAGGUAAGAGCCCUCAGUUGUGUUGUGUAGGUGUGGAGGCUCCUUUGUCAGAGGUUUGGUGCUGGAACAAGGAUUGCUGUGUGACUGCCUCUCCAGAGGGAGGUGUUUUUCCAGUGGAGUGGAAUUGAUGGAGCAUUCAGAAGUGGUGCCUUUUGGUGGAGCUUCACUUGGGCUGUAGCAGAAGAAUUGGAGCUGACUUAACAGUGUGUGCCCCAAAAAUACUGGGAAUGAAGUUUGCUUCCAUAGUGUGAGAAGCAGGUGAGUAGAUGUCAGUUUUAGAGAAGAAUUACCCGCUUGCAGCAGUUUCUUUUGAAAAGAUUUUCUACUGCAAGUAGAGAUGCUCUGUGUUACCUGUGGAAAUAGGAUGCCUAAGUAUCUGCACUAAAAUAAUGGCUGGACUGAGCUAGCUCAAGUUUUCCUGGUGUAGUGGAUACCUGGCAGUCUCCAACUUGAAACAAAAAGCAAAGAAUCUUGCUUACCUCAGGGAAGAAAUGUAGCGCCUACCAGUUAUUUCUGUGCUUGGGACUUCUUCCCUUGCUGCUGAACUGACUUCUUCUUGGGAGAAGAAAGUGGAGGACGAGGACCGCUUCUGCAGUUGGCCAUUUAGCACUGCAAGUUCUGUAAGGAAAAAAGUGAGACUUAAGUUAAUAAUGAAUAUCUUCACAGGUUGUCUACUUCAGCACUAUGGUGUGUCAGACUUGCUUGACUCACCAAAUGAAACCAGUACUUUUCCAGUGUUUGCAUUGUUGCAGCGGAAUUCCUGGAGAGAAGCGUUGCUUGAGUUUGGAAGGGCUUCUCGAGUGUGAAGGUAGGAGUGCUGUCCUGAGAGCUGAGCGGCGUUGACUCUUGCAAAAAGAUGGUUUCCUUUUUUCAGAUAGGUAAGUCAAACCACUCUCAGCAAACCAAUGGAGAAACCAGAGACUAGUGCAUCUCUAUGGUACCCUUUGGGUUAAGUUAGGAAUCAGAAAGCAGCCUGGGUUGGAAGGAACCUGUGUCUCCAAGCUCUGCACUGCUCUGCCUCAACUUCAGUUGCAUCUCUGUGAGACUCAUCAAAGCCUGGGGAUGACCAGUGUCAAUGACAGUUUGCAUUCUGGUUCUACUCAAUUUUCACAUUUUCAGAUUCAAAGUAACAAUUUCUACACUAGGAGGAACUUAGCUGUGACACCUGGGCACAAAUUACACCUUUGGAGACAAACUUCAAGAUUUGCAAACUUCAAGAUUUGUUUCCUAUAGGUACAGGCCUGAAUCAAACACCCCUUCUGCAUCACGUUGCAGCCUGUUUCCCAAGGUUUCCAGGUGACUCAAACAUUUUUAUCUUCAUUUUUACUGCAGAGUCAGCAGUUAGUUAAUACAUGAACUGAAAUAAAACAAAAAACAACCACCAACUGGAGGGGAAGGUAGAAAACACUCUUGCUGUGAAACAGGCUCCAGGCCAAGAGUGGUUCCCUCUGCUUGGUCCAGUUACAGUUCAGAGGCUCAUUCCUUGGAAGCAAAAUCUUAUAAGUAAACAUGGAGCUGAGCCUCUCUCUGCCCUUUAUCCCCUCCCAUGAAGCCUAUUUUUUUUUAUCCCAUUCAACUCAAAGGCACCCUCAGAACACUGGACUAAAUCUGCCUGUAAUAAAAUAAAUCUAAUUCUGGUCACAUUAAAAUACAUCACAGACCUUCAAAGGAAUAGUGCUAGGCUGCCUAAUGAAAAAUAGAGUGCUUCAAGUGAGAUAAACCAACAUUCUGACCGUAAGCAAGAACAAACUGGGAUCUGGUGUCACAGGAUAUUCCUUCUCUCUGGGUUUUUGCAUAUUAACCAGCAGACAGGUUUGUGGAAGAUGACUUAUUGCUCUCAGUUUUACCACAAGGAAAAUACAUAAUGUUUCUAGCUGAUCGGUAACAUGAAGUUCAACUCUGUCCCAGUACGUUCAUGCAUGGCCUAACAAGUGAAAUUACUUAAAAGAGAGCCCUCAAUGUCAAAAAAGGCUUUACAAAAAUGACUCAGUGAUUUUUCAGCUACUUGCCCUUACUGAGUGCAGAGCCCUCUGUCCCUCUAAGUUUUAGCAGCUCUGUAUGAUUAUUAUUGAAUGGGAACCUCCGUUAUCUCAGUGUUGACUGAGGUACAAAUGCCCAUUGGAGUGACUGAGGGAAAGGGCAGUGAGUGUUUGCUUUGGCUGUUUAGCCAAGCUAGACUUAUGUUAUGCAUCCUGAUUUACAUGUAAUGUGGAGAUGUAACGUGGAUGCCCCAUCCCUGGAGGCGUUCAAGGCCAGGCUGGAUGCGGCUCUGGGCAACCUGGUCUGGUGGUUGGUGACCCCACACAUAGCAGGGGGGUUGGAACUAGAUGAGCAUUGUGGUCCUUUGCAACCCAGACCAUUCUAUGACAAGUGAAUCAAAAAGACUUUAAACAGAGGAAAAUAAAAAAGAGGAAACCGUAGAUGUCACAUACAAACGUCUGAGAAAUAAUCUGAGCAAAAGUUAACAUUUGCUCCUUUUUAUUUUGAGCAAUGUUAAAUAUGGUUUUCCUGCACUUUGCAGUGUCAGCUAACAGCCUGCUAUAUCCUUAGCUCAGCCAUAGCUGGACAAAUCAGUCCCUUUACAGACACCCACACAGUCCAUCUUUCCCCAACCCAUUGGCCACCAGUUCACACACACAAGGAAUCAUCCAGUAGGUACAAUGACCAGUCACCGCUGCAGCUGCUGCUGUGCCUUUGAAGGAAACACAAAGUUACUGCUUGUCUUUCUUCCCCUCCCUCCUUUCUGGAGGCUUCUAGGCUGUAAGCGUGCAGGAGAAAACUGGAACUGCUUAGGCCUCCCCUGCAACAGGUCCGUUUCUGAACAAAGUUAUGAAACCAAGAGAAGAUACGGGCUUCUUCAUCAACUUUUUUAAAACACCAAAGAAAAAUCAUGUUUAAAGGUGAUGCUAUUAGCUGAAGACAACAGAAAAAGGGUGGCAACUUUCCCUAUAGAGAGCUCAAGAUGUGUGUGUCGUCAAUGCUUCCGGGACCCCUCCUGGGCUUCAGCAAGCACGCAGGCCAUGGCUAACAUUUCCAACCCUGAAACCCAGCCCUCCAAGAAAAGAGUAAAUCAAAAUACAUAACGUAGGGUGAUGCAGGGCUACUUCUUUCAUUUCAUCUUCACAGCACAGAGCUCUCUCUGCAAGACAGAUACGCAAGUGUAUUAAGCCCACUGACACCUCUCCAAAAGCUUAUUUGCUGGCUAAUUAGACAGUUGAAAAGAUCAACAGGUCGAUGGAAUUGAGAUAAUGCUAUCCAAUGUAAUUACUACAAUUGCAAUAUUUUAGGAAUUGAAGAACAACUCCGUUCGACCUAUGCCAAAAAGCCUAUAUACAGAAGUCCGUACUUAGGUGGUUAUUUUUCUCUAUCGGUUCAUAAUUGCCUUCUGUUUUUAAUCACAGCUUCUUUCUCCAACUGUUGCAAAGAUGGCACUGUUGUUUUUUCCUGCGUAGCCUGAAGUCCCCAGUGGCUACAGUCCACUUCUCUCCACCGCUGACGUUUAAGGUGCUGACAGCCCCCAAGCGCCCGAGGGAUCCUGCUGUCUUCGGCAAGGUCUCAUUUCAUUUAAUUUCAUAUUUAAAGCUUCCGUGACCUUUUUGAACAUGUAAAUGAUAAAAAUACUUUCACACACGGAUGUAUCGAGCGCCACGUCCACCUAGGCUUGUUAAUAAACCUCGUUGCUCUGUU